AUGGAUGGUAUUCAUGUGAGGGGAACAUGCUGGAGCAAAGGAUCUGCGUCACGGUCUUAUUUCAUUGCUGAAAAUCACAAGGAUGUAGUGGGGUGUGUCUGCCAUGAACGAGGUGCACCUGGGUAUGAUCUUGCCAUGAACAUGACAGCUUAUCAAGUUUCGUCAGAGUUAUGUUUUGGUUGGCUGAUAGCUUGCAAGAUCUUCAUCUUCUACUAUCUGCUUCCUUCAGUUUGUGUAGUCUACAUAGUAGGCCAUCAUCCAGAAAGGAAGCGAUGGAUUAAAACUUGUGGGUUUAUGGCUCUUUCCUCGUGA
This 312-nucleotide ribosomal RNA is filed under the name Triticum aestivum (bread wheat). RNAcentral describes it as "partial small subunit ribosomal RNA". The record is from RNAcentral. Lineage: Eukaryota; Viridiplantae; Streptophyta; Magnoliopsida; Poales; Poaceae.